Molecule: long non-coding RNA, 2510 nt
Filed under: Brassica napus (rape)
Lineage: Eukaryota; Viridiplantae; Streptophyta; Magnoliopsida; Brassicales; Brassicaceae
Description: long non-coding RNA (BNAP_LNC006945)
Source: RNAcentral
GGAGCGGGAGGGUAAGCGGAGGCUGAGGGAGGAGGAUAAGCAGAUGGCUGAUGAGGAUAAGCUGAAGCUGGUGGGUAAGCUGAUUGUGGCUGAGAGUAUUGUACUUGUGGGUACAGAGAUGGUCCAGAGUAUGGUGCUGAGUAGUGAGGUACUUGAGGGGCAUAGGGUGGUGCUAAUUGUGCAGAACCAUAAUUUUGUUUCUGCAUUCAAGGAACGAAGUGUAUGUUUCAGCCGUUUAUUCUUUGUCAAUAAGCGAUCAAACCUGUAGCUUAACGUUGCUUAUUGAGCAUUUAUGUUACCUUUGCGGCUGCAUAAUGCAGUAUGAGCCGUACUUCUCCCGCAUAUCUGCAAGACAUAAAUGUGAAGCAUUUUCAGAAGAGUUAUAAUCAAGUUAACUAAUCUAUUUAUGAGUAUAUGCUUCUUAUGUGUAGGAACAGGACUAUAAGUGUUUUCACAUUUGAUUAUACCAGUAAUGAAAGUUAAUAAUAACUCAAAAUUAACAAAGAAGUGAAAUAACAGCUUGUAUUACAAUUAACACCAAAGAUGACAGGAAACUACACAUAACCUCUCUUACAAGUGAACAAGACCAUGCUUCCAUGUCAACAAAAGAAAUGACAAGAGCUAAAAGUUUCACUUAAGCAGAAAGCAUAGGGCCCACGAGUAUUACGAGGCACACCACAUGAAAGGUUCUAUUGAUAAUUGGCAAGUCCAACACAGACUGCUCUAACACCGAGAUCAUAUAGAACAAACAUGCACCAUGCAAGUAUUGAUUACAAAACAUGAUAUAAUACUCAAUGCAAAAAGAACCAAAAACUAAUGAAAUCAAUGUUGUUACCACACUUACCUCCCAUUUUUACCCUGCAGAGUCCAGGUACAGUCGUCAUAUCCUUCAGAAAGAGCCUUCUGCAAUUUAAUCCUAAUCACAACAAACAUACAUAGAGAAAACAAAAGACUCAGUUCCAGAUCCGAAUCAGGAACUUAAAAGCACACAUGAAAAAUCACAUACGUAGCAUUCCCAAUGAAGUCAUCAGUGGAGAGUGUAUUGCUAUUCCAGACAACUACCUUAAGAUCCCUAAGGCCUUCAAGCAAAGUGAACAUAAACUUCUCUUGGAACACUGCGUUCUUUCCACCAUCUGAAAAAAUAAAUAAAGAAACGCAUCAGAUAUUUAUAGACGAGUAAGCUUUUCAAACCCUUGUAAGCAUUAAAGAGGGCUAAUAGUUAACCUGUGCAAGUUCUGGUACGGUGCCUUGUGCUGCUAUACUCGAGUACAACGUAUGGAUCUUGCCUCGAAAACCAUUCCGUAUCUUUUAGUUUCUGGCAUCCAACAACUGAAACCAAGAAAAUCACAUACGCAAACCUCAGUGAACAUUGAGUUAGAGAAUCAUGAAAAAAAAAAAAAGAACAGAAAAUCGAGGAACAGAGGGGUACGAACCAGUGACCUCGAGAACCUGGCCUUGAAUACCCGCCAUCAUCGACAUGAACUGGAUGGAAGAAGCUAGAUUUGCUUAAGAAAUACAGAGAGAUUAGGGGUUGAAAGAAGAACAAGAGAUUGAAAAAAAUGUAAGGAUGAAGCUUAAUCAAGAGAUGGUCCGUCUUUAAAUAUACGAAUAAUCAAACUUCGGAUUUCCCAGAAGUUGCGGCAGUUACUUUUUGACUUUACAUGGCUUGAGCCUUGAGGUAUACGCGUUUCUUAAAUAGGUACUUGAGGGGCAUAGGGUGGUGCUAAUUGUGCAGAACCAUAAUUUUGUUUCUGCAUUCAAGGAACGAAGUGUAUGUUUCAGCCGUUUAUUCUUUGUCAAUAAGCGAUCAAACCUGUAGCUUAACGUUGCUUAUUGAGCAUUUAUGUUACCUUUGCGGCUGCAUAAUGCAGUAUGAGCCGUACUUCUCCCGCAUAUCUGCAAGACAUAAAUGUGAAGCAUUUUCAGAAGAGUUAUAAUCAAGUUAACUAAUCUAUUUAUGAGUAUAUGCUUCUUAUGUGUAGGAACAGGACUAUAAGUGUUUUCACAUUUGAUUAUACCAGUAAUGAAAGUUAAUAAUAACUCAAAAUUAACAAAGAAGUGAAAUAACAGCUUGUAUUACAAUUAACACCAAAGAUGACAGGAAACUACACAUAACCUCUCUUACAAGUGAACAAGACCAUGCUUCCAUGUCAACAAAAGAAAUGACAAGAGCUAAAAGUUUCACUUAAGCAGAAAGCAUAGGGCCCACGAGUAUUACGAGGCACACCACAUGAAAGGUUCUAUUGAUAAUUGGCAAGUCCAACACAGACUGCUCUAACACCGAGAUCAUAUAGAACAAACAUGCACCAUGCAAGUAUUGAUUACAAAACAUGAUAUAAUACUCAAUGCAAAAAGAACCAAAAACUAAUGAAAUCAAUGUUGUUACCACACUUACCUCCCAUUUUUACCCUGCAGAGUCCAGGUACAGUCGUCAUAUCCUUCAGAAAGAGCCUUCUGCAAUUUAAUCCUAAUCACAACAAACAUACAUAGAGAAAACAAAAGACUCAGUU